CAUUGGUAAGAAUCCAAUGCCCCGAAAACCCAAGGGUUCCUCCGCAAGGUUUGUCCACAGAGGGUGAGUCAGGGCCUAAGAUUAGGCCGAAAGGCUUAGUCGAUGGACAAUAGGUGAAUAUUCCUGUACUACCUUUAUUGGUCCCGAGGGAUAGAGGAGGUUAGGUUAGUUGAAAGAUGGUUAUCGGUUCAAUGACGCAAGGUGCCCCUACUUUUUUAGGGUAAGAAGGGG
This is a non-coding RNA of Gossypium hirsutum (cotton), 231 nucleotides long. NCBI's taxonomy places the organism in Eukaryota, Viridiplantae, Streptophyta, Magnoliopsida, Malvales, Malvaceae. The record is from Rfam.